RNAcentral lists this ribosomal RNA (560 nucleotides) under Bacillus sp. (in: firmicutes). Its description in RNAcentral is "bacterial SSU rRNA". It matches the Rfam family "Bacterial small subunit ribosomal RNA", at positions 237 to 788 of the family's 1533-position model. Lineage: Bacteria; Bacillati; Bacillota; Bacilli; Caryophanales; Bacillaceae. The record is from RNAcentral.
CGCAUUAGCUAGUUGGUGAGGUAACGGCUCACCAAGGCAACGAUGCGUACCCAACCUGAGAGGGUGAUCGGCCACACUGGGACUGAAACACGGCCCAAACUCCUACGGGAGGCAGCAGUAGGGAAUCUUCCGCAAUGGACAAAAGUCUGACGGACCACCGCCGCGGGAGUGAUGAAGGUUUUCGGAUCGUAAAACUCUGUUGUUAGGGAAAAACAAGUACCGUUCGAAUAGGGCGGUACCUUGACGGUACCUAACCAAAAAGCCACGGCUAACUACGUGCCAGCAGCCGCGGUAAUACGUAGGUGGCAAGCGUUGUCCGGAAUUAUUGGGCGUAAAGCGCGCGCAGGCGGUUUCUUAAGUCUGAUGUGAAAGCCCCCGGCUCACCCGGGGAGGGUCAUUGGAAACUGGGGAACUUGAGUGCAAAAAAGGAGAGUGGAAUUCCACGUGUAGCGGUGAAAUGCGUAAAGAUGUGGAGGACCACCAGUGGCGAAGGCGACUCUCUGGUCUGUAACUGACGCUGAGGCGCGAAAGCGUGGGGAGCGAACAGGAUUAGAUACCCU